GAAUAUUGCACAAUGGGGGAAACCCUGAUGCAGCCAUGCCGCGUGUGUGAAGAAGGCCUUCGGGUUGUAAAGCACUUUCAGUGGUGAGGAAGGCCAUACACCUAAUACGUGUGUGGAUUUACGUUAGCCACAGAAGAAGCACCGGCUAACUCCGUGCCAGCAGCCGCGGUAAUACGGAGGGUGCAAGCGUUAAACGGAAUUGCUGGGCGUAAAGCGUACGUAGGCGGCUUGUUAAGCAAGAUGUGAAAGCCCCGGGCUCAACCUGGGAAUGGCAUUUUGAACUGGCAAGCUCGAGUUUUGAAGAGGGUGGUAGAAUUUCCUGUGUAGCGGUGAAAUGCGUAGAUAUAGGAAGGAAUACCAGUGGCGAAGGCGGCCACCUGGUCAAAAACUGACGCUGAGGUACGAAAGCGUGGGGAGCAAACAGG
Molecule: ribosomal RNA, 425 nt
Filed under: uncultured bacterium
Lineage: Bacteria
Description: bacterial SSU rRNA
Rfam family: Bacterial small subunit ribosomal RNA
Source: RNAcentral